RNAcentral lists this transfer RNA (71 nucleotides) under human gut metagenome. It matches the Rfam family "tRNA". From Rfam's summary of the family: Transfer RNA (tRNA) molecules are approximately 80 nucleotides in length. Their secondary structure includes four short double-helical elements and three loops (D, anti-codon, and T loops). Further hydrogen bonds mediate the characteristic L-shaped molecular structure. tRNAs have two regions of fundamental functional importance: the anti-codon, which is responsible for specific mRNA codon recognition, and the 3' end, to which the tRNAs corresponding amino acid is attached (by aminoacyl-tRNA synthetases). tRNAs cope with the degeneracy of the genetic code in two manners: having more than one tRNA (with a specific anti-codon) for a particular amino acid; and 'wobble' base-pairing, i.e. permitting non-standard base-pairing at the 3rd anti-codon position. The record is from RNAcentral.
ACGCAUAGCUCAGCUGGUUAGAGCGUUCGCCUCACACGCGAGAGGUCAAGGGUUCGAGUCCCUUUGCGUCC